RNAcentral lists this ribosomal RNA (1962 nucleotides) under human gut metagenome. RNAcentral's name for it is "bacterial LSU rRNA". It matches the Rfam family "Bacterial large subunit ribosomal RNA", at positions 1 to 1977 of the family's 2925-position model. The record is from RNAcentral.
GUGAACAACGAAGGGCGCGCGGUGGAUGCCUAGGCUCUCGGAGGCGAUGAAGGACGCGAUAAGCCGCGAUAGGCCACGGCGAGGUGCAAGUAACCCUUGACCCGUGGAUUUCCGAAUGGGGCAACCCGGCCGUCUAGAUGACGGUCAUGCAGUAAUGCAAGCGAACGCGGGGAACUGAAACAUCUCAUUACCCGCAGGAGAAGAAAACAAAAUGUGAUUCCCCCAGUAGUGGCGAGCGAACGGGGAAGAGCCCAAACCGUUGCCGUUUCGGCGACAGCGGGGUCAUGGGACCGCGAUAUUCGACGGAAGACGAAGUGCAAUUACCUGGAAAGGUAAGCCGUGGAGGGUGACAGCCCCGUGCACGACACCUCUUUCGAAGAUAGCGGUAUCCCGAGUAGGGCGGGACACGAGAAAUCCUGCCUGAAUUCGCCAGGACCGCCUGGCAAGGCUAAAUACUCCCGAGAGACCGAUAGUGAACCAGUACCGCGAGGGAAAGGUGAAAAGUACCCCGAGCAGGGGGGUGAAAUAGACCCUGAACCCGCGCGCCUACAAGCGGUCGGAGCCGGGUAAUCCGGUGACGGCGUGCCUUUUGCAUAAUGAGCCUACGAGUUAGUCGUCACCAGCGAGGUUAAGGGCUUCAGGCCCGUUAGCCGAAGUGAAAGCGAGCCUUAACAGGGCGUCGAGUUGGUGGCGCUAGACGCGAAACCUUGUGAUCUACCCACGAGCAGGUUGAAGUCGCGGUAACACGUGAUGGAGGACCGAACCGGUAAACGUUGAAAAGUUUUCGGAUGACUCGCGGGUAGGGGUGAAAGGCCAAUCAAACUGGGAAAUAGCUCGUACUCUCCGAAAUGCAUUUAGGUGCAGCCUCUGUUGUUUUGUUCUAGAGGUAGAGCUACUGAUUGGAUGCGAGGGCUUCACCGCCUAUCAAAUCCGGCCAAACUCCGAAUGCUAGAACAUGAAGACAGGGAGUGAGCCAGCGGGUGCUAAGGUCCGUUGACGAAAGAGGGAGAACUCAGACCAUCAGCUAAGGUCCCCAAUUGUAUGCUAAGUUGGAAUUAAAACGGGGUGGGACUGCUUAGACAGCUAGGAUGUUGGCUUGGAAGCAGCCAUUCAUUUAAAGAGUGCGUAACAGCUCACUAGUCGAGCGGUCCUGCAUGGAUAAUACGCGGGCAUAAGCAUAUAACCGAAGCUAUGGGAUUGUAGAUGAUACAAUCGGUAGGAGAGCAUUCCAUUCAGCGUAGAAGCAGUACCGUGAGGUAUUGUGGAGCGGAUGGAAAAGCAAAUGUAGGCAUAAGUAACGAUAAUGCGGGUGAGAACCCCGCACGCCGAAAGAUCAAGGAUUCCCCGGCAAUGUCAAUCAUCCGGGGGUAAGUCGGAUCCUAAGGGUAAGCCGAGUGGCGAUCCCGAUGGCAAACAGGUUAAUAUUCCUGUACUGAUCAUAACUGCGAUGCAGCGACGCAGAGGUGACACUGCUGCGUACUGACGGAAUAGUACGUUGAAACCCGUAUUCUUUGAUACCGGUAGUGAAGCACGCCGGUAGAGAUGAAAGGUGAUAGUACCGCAAUGCUUCGGUUGCGCGGAUAAUGCAGGUAAGCUGACUGCCAAGAAAACCUGCUAAGCUUCAGGUAAUGAUCAUCCGUACUGUAAACGGACACACGUGAUCAGGUAGAAAAUACUAAGGCGCUCGAGAGAUUCAUGGUUAAGGAACUAGGCAAAAUGGUCCUGUAACUUCGGGAUAAAGGACGCUCUUGUGAAAGAGCCGCAGAUAAUAGGCCCAGGCGACUGUUUACCAAAAACACAUGGCUAUGCUAAUUCGCAAGAAGAUGUAUAUGGCCUGACACCUGCCCGGUGCCGGAAGGUUAAGAGGAGAGCUCAGAGGCAACUCGAAGGUUUGAAUUGAAGCCCCGGUAAACGGCGGCCGUAACUAUAACGGUCCUAAGGUAGCGAAAUUCCUUGUCGGGU